RNAcentral lists this ribosomal RNA (250 nucleotides) under uncultured bacterium. RNAcentral describes it as "partial 16S ribosomal RNA". It matches the Rfam family "Bacterial small subunit ribosomal RNA", at positions 524 to 773 of the family's 1533-position model. The record is from RNAcentral.
UACGUAGGUGGCAAGCGUUGUCCGGAUUUAUUGGGCGUAAAGCGAGUGCAGGCGGUUCAAUAAGUCUAAUGUGAAAGCCUUCGGCUUAACCGAAGAAUUGCAUCGGAAACUGUUGAACUUGAGUGCAGAAGAGGAGAGUGGAACUCCAUGUGUAGCGGUGGAAUGCGUAGAUAUAUGGAAGAACACCAGUGGCGAAGGCGGCUCUCUGGUCUGUAACUGACGCUGAGGCUCGAAAGCAUGGGUAGCGAAC